AGGGUGUGUAGCUUAAUGGAAAAAGUACUGGUCUCCGACACCAGAGACUGAGGGUUCAACUCCCUCCAUACCCU
RNAcentral lists this transfer RNA (74 nucleotides) under Trachydiscus minutus. RNAcentral describes it as "tRNA-Arg". It matches the Rfam family "tRNA". From Rfam's summary of the family: Transfer RNA (tRNA) molecules are approximately 80 nucleotides in length. Their secondary structure includes four short double-helical elements and three loops (D, anti-codon, and T loops). The record is from RNAcentral. Lineage: Eukaryota; Eustigmatophyceae; Goniochloridales; Goniochloridaceae.